Molecule: long non-coding RNA, 600 nt
Organism: Mustela erminea (ermine)
Lineage: Eukaryota; Metazoa; Chordata; Mammalia; Carnivora; Mustelidae
Exons: 3
Source: RefSeq, a predicted model, not a curated record
CACAUGUAGUGCAUGAAGCAUUCCCCAAAGGAGCCUCAAGAUGGAGCAGCAUGUUAGCAAGUGGUGUGACCUAAGGCUAGCUGCUGUCCCUCUCUGGACUUUCCUUUUCCUAUCUGUAAAAGGAGAGAAGAGGCCAGACAGCAGCCCCUGGUGAUUUCUGGACCCUCUGCUGGGGGAUUCAAGGCUUCUCAGAUGCCCUUCUGGAUGGUCCUCGGACCCCCUGAUCUCCUGAUAGCACCCCUGUGAUCCUCUGAAGCACUAAGCCUCAUCUGAGAAGCAGGUUAUCUAUUUCCCGUCAAGAUGGCCCAGAAGCUCUCGCAAGCUCUUCCCCAGCGCUGCCCACCCAACCUCCUCCUGCUGCUCGGAGCGCCCCUGGGCCAGCUCCACAGGGAAGACAGUGGUCAGCUCCCACCCGGCCCCGGAGUCCAGCCCCAGCUGCCAGUGGGGCUGGAGGAAGCCCAGGGGCCUGGCGAGGAGGAGAGGGCUAGUGGGGCUGGCCAGCGCCUGGCGGGAGGAGAAUUAAGCAGAAGUGCAAAUUACCCAAACCCGUGAUUAACAUUUCUUCCAAAUCUGCAUGAAUAUUAAAGCGCAACCCACCCU